RNAcentral lists this ribosomal RNA (468 nucleotides) under uncultured bacterium. RNAcentral's name for it is "partial 16S ribosomal RNA". It matches the Rfam family "Bacterial small subunit ribosomal RNA", at positions 28 to 507 of the family's 1533-position model. The record is from RNAcentral.
GACGAACGCUGGCGGCGUGCUUAACACAUGCAAGUCGAACGGAAAGGCCCUGCUUUUGUGGGGUGCUUGAGUGGCGAACGGGUGAGUAACACGUGAGUAACCUGCCCUUGACUUUGGGAUAACUUCAGGAAACUGGGGCUAAUACCGGAUAGGAGCUCCUGCUGCAUGGUGGGGGUUGGAAAGUUUCGGCGGUUGGGGAUGGACUCGCGGCUUAUCAGCUUGUUGGUGGGGUAGUGGCUUACCAAGGCUUUGACGGGUAGCCGGCCUGAGAGGGUGACCGGCCACAUUAGGACUGAGAUAGGGCCCAGACUCCUACGGGAGGCAGCAGUGGGGAAUAUUGCACAAUGGGGGGGAGCCUGAUGCAGCAACGCCGCGUGCGGAAUAACGGCCUUCGGGUUGUAAACCGCUUUCGCCUGUGACGAAGCGUGAGUGACGGUAAUGGGUAAAGAAGCACCGGCUAACUACGUG